RNAcentral lists this ribosomal RNA (253 nucleotides) under uncultured bacterium. RNAcentral's name for it is "partial 16S ribosomal RNA". It matches the Rfam family "Bacterial small subunit ribosomal RNA", at positions 524 to 776 of the family's 1533-position model. The record is from RNAcentral.
UACGUAGGUGGCAAGCGUUAUCCGGAUUUAUUGGGUGUAAAGGGCGUGUAGGCGGGAAUGCAAGUCAGAUGUGAAAACUCAGGGCUCAACCCUGAGCCUGCAUUUGAAACUGUAUUUCUUGAGUGCUGGAGAGGCAAUCGGAAUUCCGUGUGUAGCGGUGAAAUGCGUAGAUAUACGGAGGAACACCAGUGGCGAAGGCGGAUUGCUGGACAGUAACUGACGCUGAGGCGCGAAAGCGUGGGGAGCAAACAGG